AUUGAACGCUGGCGGCAUGCUUUACACAUGCAAGUCGAACGGUAACAGGCCUACGGCUGCUGCCGAGUGGCGAACGGGUGAGUAUGAAUCGGAACGUGACCAGAGGCGGGGGAUAAGGCAGCGAAAGCUGAGCUAAUACCGCAUGAGAUCUGAGGAUGAACGCGGGGGACCAAGCAGCAAUGUUUGGCCUUGCGCCUAUGGAGCGGCCGAUGUCAGAUUAGGUAGUUGGUGGGGUAAAGGCCUACCAAGCCGACGAUCUGUAGCUGGUCUGAGAGGACGACCAGCCACACUGGGACUGAGGCACGGCCCAGACUCCUACGGGAGGCAGCAGUGGGGAAUUUUGGACAAUGGGCGCAAGCCUGAUCCAGCAAUGCCGCGUGCGGGAAGAAGGCCUUCGGGUUGUAAACCGCUUUUGUACGGAACGAAAAGGCUCUGGCUAAUACCUGGGGCUGAUGACGGUACCGUAAGAAUAAGCACCGGCUAACUACGUG
RNAcentral lists this ribosomal RNA (491 nucleotides) under uncultured bacterium. RNAcentral's name for it is "partial 16S ribosomal RNA". It matches the Rfam family "Bacterial small subunit ribosomal RNA", at positions 29 to 507 of the family's 1533-position model. The record is from RNAcentral.